This is a long non-coding RNA of Mauremys reevesii (Reeves's turtle), 713 nucleotides long. RefSeq lists it as uncharacterized. Lineage: Eukaryota; Metazoa; Chordata; Testudines; Geoemydidae. The transcript is spliced from 2 exons. The record is from RefSeq and is a predicted model, not a curated record.
CAUGUGUACUGGGCUCUGAUUGCUCUUUAAGGGACAGACUUUGGAAAAGACUCUGACUUAAAAGGGGUUUUUGAUCAGACCUUAAAAGGCCCCUUCCUGCAAUAUACCACAGGCUUCCUCCUUUGUCCAUCAAGCAAGAAAAUGCCAACAACUUAUAGUUAAAUAUUUAUGAAAUGACUAUCACCAUACUUUAAAUUUCCAAAAAACAGAAUAUGAAAUUUUACAUCUGAAGUAUGCAAACUAUCUGAUUUCACAGUUUAUGAUAAAACAAACAAAAAUAUCAUUCAUUCCUAAAACAUAGGACUUCUUAUACUAGGGGCUAGAUUGUGGCUGGGACUUGUGGAGGGCAUAACAUCCAAAAAGCCUCCCCUAACAUACCUUACUGGAUCCAUUUCAUUCAUGCACCCAAUGGGGAAACAGAUAGGAAUAAAAGAUAGUGUCAUGACACUCUCUGCCGCCUCGGAGUGAGCAGUCUGGGCACUAGGCUUGCAAUGAUACCAAAAGAGCCUGGUGAUGGAGAAGAAAGCUGACUGCAAGUUGUUUUCCUUGAAAAUCCUGCCCGUGGAGAGAAAAAAGCCAGCUACUUGGUCACAUCUCUGAGUUGCUUGCUAAGCAAGAUGUUGGGAGAUGCAGGCUUUUCACUCAUUUCCCUAAAAACUUACUGAUGGAGAAAGAGAACACCACAAUAAAAAUGUGUGAUUUUGUGCACAGUA